Molecule: non-coding RNA, 56 nt
Organism: Drosophila melanogaster (fruit fly)
Lineage: Eukaryota; Metazoa; Arthropoda; Insecta; Diptera; Drosophilidae
Source: Ensembl
GUGGGUAUCUGGAUGUGGUUGGCUCUGGCGGUCCUCUCACAUUUACAUAUUCACAG